This 237-nucleotide ribosomal RNA is filed under the name uncultured Glomus. RNAcentral's name for it is "partial 18S ribosomal RNA". It matches the Rfam family "Eukaryotic small subunit ribosomal RNA", at positions 569 to 812 of the family's 1831-position model. The record is from RNAcentral. Lineage: Eukaryota; Fungi; Glomeromycota; Glomeromycetes; Glomerales; Glomeraceae.
AGCAGCCGCGGUAAUUCCAGCUCCAAUAGCGUAUAUUAAAGUUGUUGCAGUUAAAAAAGCUCGUAGUUGAAUUUCGGGAUCAAAGAAUCGGUCAUGCCUUAGUAUGUACUGGUUUUAUUGGUUCUCACCUUCUAAAGAACCAUGAUGUCAUUCAUUUGAUGUUAUGGGGAAUUAGGACUGUUACCUUGAAAAAAUUGAGUGUUUAAAGCAAGCUUACGCUUGAAUACAUUAGCAUGG